CCUACGGGUGGCAGCAGUGAGGAAUAUUGGUCAAUGGACGAGAGUCUGAACCAGCCAAGUCGCGUGAAGGAUGACUGCCCUAUGGGUUGUAAACUUCUUUUAUAAAGGAGUAAAACGUGGCCCUUGUGCCUUUUUGCAUGUCCUUUAUGAAUAAGGCUGGGCGAACUCCGUGCCAGCAGCCGCGGUAAUACGGAGGAUCCGAGCGUUAUCCGGAUUUAUUGGGUUUAAAGGGAGCGUAGAUGGGUUGUUACGUCAGUUGUGAAAGUUUGCGGCUCAACCGUAAAAUUGCAAUUGAGACUGGCAGUCUUGAGUACAGUUGAGGUAGGCGGAAUUCGUGGUGUAGCGGUGAAAUGCUUAGAUAUCACGAAGAACCCCGAUUGCGAAGGCAGCUUACUAAACUGUGACUGACAUUGAUGCUCGAAAGUGUGGGUAUCAAACAGGAUUAGAUACCCCAGUAGUC
RNAcentral lists this ribosomal RNA (460 nucleotides) under uncultured bacterium. RNAcentral's name for it is "partial 16S ribosomal RNA". It matches the Rfam family "Bacterial small subunit ribosomal RNA", at positions 338 to 795 of the family's 1533-position model. The record is from RNAcentral.